UACGAGAGGUGCAAGCGUUAUUCGGAAUUAUUGGGCGUAAAGGGCGCGUAGGCGGCCUUCUAAGUCGAACGUGAAAUCCCCGGGCUCAACCCGGGAACUGCGUCCGAUACCGGAAGGCUUGAAUCCGGGAGAGGGAUGCGGAAUUCCAGGUGUAGCGGUGAAAUGCGUAGAUAUCUGGAGGAAUACCGGUGGCGAAGGCGGCAUCCUGGACCGGCAUUGACGCUGAGGAGCGAAAGCCAGGGGAGCAAACGGG
RNAcentral lists this ribosomal RNA (253 nucleotides) under uncultured bacterium. RNAcentral describes it as "partial 16S ribosomal RNA". It matches the Rfam family "Bacterial small subunit ribosomal RNA", at positions 524 to 776 of the family's 1533-position model. The record is from RNAcentral.